This 559-nucleotide small RNA is filed under the name Pan troglodytes (chimpanzee). Its description in RNAcentral is "retained intron". The record is from RNAcentral. Lineage: Eukaryota; Metazoa; Chordata; Mammalia; Primates; Hominidae.
AGUGUUUUCUCCUCAGGAAGGCAGGACUGAACCAGGCAGGCUGGGGUGCAGUGAGUCCUCCUGCCUCUUCUCUGAAAUGCCCCUGUGUCACCCUCUCCUUCUGUUUCCUCUGCAGAGCCCUCAGGACUGCCCCCGGACCCUGCUCUCACCCCUGGCACCCGUGCCUACGGGUGGCUCCCAGAACAUCCUGGUGCCUCUGGCCAACACUGCCUUUUUCCAGGGUGCAGCCCUGGAGUGUAGUUUUGGGCUGGAGGAGAUCUUCGAGGCUGUGUGGGUGAAUGAGUCUGUUGUACGCUGUGACCAGGUGGUGCUGCACACGACCCGGAAGAGCCAGGUGUUCCCGCUCAGCCUCCAACUAAAGGGGCGGCCAGCCCGAUUCCUGGACAGCCCUGAGCCCAUGACAGUCAUGGUCUAUAACUGUGCCAUGGGCAGCCCCGACUGUUCCCAGUGCCUGGGCCGCGAAGACCUGGGUCACCUGUGCGUGUGGAGUGAUGGCUGCCGCCUGCGGGGGCCUCUGCAGCCCAUGGCUGGCACCUGCCCCGCCCCCGAGAUCCGCGCG